RNAcentral lists this ribosomal RNA (460 nucleotides) under uncultured bacterium. Its description in RNAcentral is "partial 16S ribosomal RNA". It matches the Rfam family "Bacterial small subunit ribosomal RNA", at positions 338 to 795 of the family's 1533-position model. The record is from RNAcentral.
CCUACGGGUGGCAGCAGUGAGGAAUAUUGGUCAAUGGACGAGAGUCUGAACCAGCCAAGUAGCGUGAAGGAUGACUGCCCUAUGGGUUGUAAACUUCUUUUAUAUGGGAAUAAAAUGUUCCACGUGUGGGAUUUUGUAUGUACCAUAUGAAUAAGGAUCGGCUAACUCCGUGCCAGCAGCCGCGGUAAUACGGAGGAUCCGAGCGUUAUCCGGAUUUAUUGGGUUUAAAGGGAGCGUAGGUGGAUUGUUAAGUCAGUUGUGAAAGUUUGCGGCUCAACCGUAAAAUUGCAGUUGAAACUGGCAGUCUUGAGUACAGUAGAGGUGGGCGGAAUUCGUGGUGUAGCGGUGAAAUGCUUAGAUAUCACGAAGAACUCCGAUUGCGAAGGCAGUUCACUUGACUGCAACUGACACUGAGGCUCGAAAGUGUGGGUAUCAAACAGGAUUAGAUACCCGAGUAGUC